CCUACGGGACGCAGCAGUGGGGAAUAUUGCACAAUGGGGGAAACCCUGAUGCAGCGACGCCGCGUGAGUGAAGAAGUAUCUCGGUAUGUAAAGCUCUAUCAGCAGGAAAGAUAAUGACGGUACCUGACUAAGAAGCCCCGGCUAACUACGUGCCAGCAGCCGCAGUAAUACGUAGGGGGCAAGCGUUAUCCGGAUUUACUGGGUGUAAAGGGAGCGUAGACGGCAGCGCAAGUCUGGAGUGAAAUGCCGGGGCCCAACCCCGGACCUGCUCUGGAAACUGUGAAGCUGGAGUGCAGGAGAGGUAA
Molecule: ribosomal RNA, 305 nt
Filed under: uncultured bacterium
Lineage: Bacteria
Description: bacterial SSU rRNA
Rfam family: Bacterial small subunit ribosomal RNA
Source: RNAcentral